This 823-nucleotide ribosomal RNA is filed under the name uncultured Planctomycetaceae bacterium. RNAcentral describes it as "bacterial SSU rRNA". It matches the Rfam family "Bacterial small subunit ribosomal RNA", at positions 41 to 874 of the family's 1533-position model. The record is from RNAcentral. Lineage: Bacteria; Pseudomonadati; Planctomycetota; Planctomycetia; Planctomycetales; Planctomycetaceae.
GGCGUGGAUUAGGCAUGCAAGUCGAGCGAGAAGUUUACUUCGGUAAAUGGACAGCGGCGAAAGGGACAGUAAUGUGUAGGUACCUACCCCCCGAUCUGGGAUAGCUGCGGGAAACUGCAGGUAAUACCGGAUAAUGUCUUCGGACCAAAGGUGUGAUUCCGUCAGGGGAGGGGCCUGCAUCCUAUUAGCUUGUUGGUGAGGUAAUGGCUCACCAAGGCAACGAUGGGUAGCGGGUGUGAGAGCAUGACCCGCGUCAUUGGGACUGAGACACUGCCCAGACAUCUACGGAUGGCUGCAGUCGAGAAUCUUCGGCAAUGGGCGAAAGCCUGACCGAGCGACGCCGCGUGCGGGAUGAAGGCCCUCGGGUUGUAAACCGCUGUCGUUGGGGAGGAAAUGCAAAAGGGUUAUCCCUUCUGUUUGACCGAUCCAAGGAGGAAGUACGGGCUAAGUUCGUGCCAGCAGCCGCGGUAAGACGAACCGUACGAACGUUAUUCGGAAUUACUGGGCUUAAAGGGUGCGUAGGCUGCACGGAAAGUUGGGUGUGAAAGCCCUCAGCUCAACUGAGGAAUUGCAUCCAAAACUGCCGUGCUUGAGGGAGACAGAGGUGAGCGGAACUCAAGGUGGAGCGGUGAAAUGCGUUGAUAUCUUGAGGAACACCGGUGGCGAAAGCGGCUCACUGGGUCUCUUCUGACGCUGAGGCACGAAAGCUAAGGUAGCAAACGGGAUUAGAUACCCCGGUAGUCUUAGCUGUAAACGAUGAGCACUUGAUUGGAGGGUCCUCCAUAGCCUUCCAGUCGUAGCGAAAGUGUUAAGUGCUCCGCCU